GGACGAUUAGCUCAGUUGGGAGAGCACCGCCCUUACAAGGCGGGGGUCACUGGUUAAAGCCCAGUAUCGUCCACCA
This 76-nucleotide transfer RNA is filed under the name Alteromonas macleodii. RNAcentral's name for it is "tRNA-Val". It matches the Rfam family "tRNA". From Rfam's summary of the family: Transfer RNA (tRNA) molecules are approximately 80 nucleotides in length. Their secondary structure includes four short double-helical elements and three loops (D, anti-codon, and T loops). RNAcentral also lists the same sequence under 3 other names. Lineage: Bacteria; Pseudomonadati; Pseudomonadota; Gammaproteobacteria; Alteromonadales; Alteromonadaceae. The record is from RNAcentral.